RNAcentral lists this unclassified non-coding RNA (225 nucleotides) under Hevea brasiliensis (rubber tree). The record is from RNAcentral. Lineage: Eukaryota; Viridiplantae; Streptophyta; Magnoliopsida; Malpighiales; Euphorbiaceae.
AGAUAUGUUAAAUGUAUAUGAAUUUAGAUUUAUAUUUUAAGUAAAAAAAUCAUAAAUUUUCAAUAUAAAGUAAUACCAAAUAUCACAUUAUUUAAAAUCUCAUCUAUCUAAGUGGAGCCUAAGAGCAUUUUGGUUACAAUUUCUUUUCUAUUUACCACAGUGGCCUCCACAAUGUUAGCAGCUGUAAUACGAAGGGGUUUACAAAUUUUGAAUUUCACUUCUUUU